Molecule: small nuclear RNA, 117 nt
Organism: Heterocephalus glaber (naked mole-rat)
Lineage: Eukaryota; Metazoa; Chordata; Mammalia; Rodentia; Bathyergidae
Source: Ensembl
AUGUUGUACGAAAGGAGAGAAGGUUAGCACUCCCCUUGACAAGGAUAAAAGAGGCCCUUGGGCCUGACAACACACCUACAUGUAGGGUAAGGCAUUGCCACCUACUUAAAGUAAUCG